RNAcentral lists this transfer RNA (61 nucleotides) under Rotaria rotatoria. RNAcentral describes it as "tRNA-Met". Lineage: Eukaryota; Metazoa; Rotifera; Eurotatoria; Philodinida; Philodinidae. The record is from RNAcentral.
GUAAAAUUAAGCUAAUUAAGCUGUGGGAUUCAUACUCCUAAUAUUUUUUUAUAUUUUUAGA